This 301-nucleotide ribosomal RNA is filed under the name uncultured bacterium. RNAcentral's name for it is "partial 16S ribosomal RNA". It matches the Rfam family "Bacterial small subunit ribosomal RNA", at positions 509 to 807 of the family's 1533-position model. The record is from RNAcentral.
CAGUAGCCGCGGUAAUACGAAGGGUGCAAGCGUUAAUCGGAAUUACUGGGCGUAAAGCGUGCGUAGGCGGUUUGUUAAGUCUGUUGUGAAAUCCCCGGGCUCAACCUGGGAAUGGCAAUGGAUACUGGCAAGCUAGAGUGUGUCAGAGGAUGGUGGAAUUCCCGGUGUAGCGGUGAAAUGCGUAGAGAUCGGGAGGAACAUCAGUGGCGAAGGCGGCCAUCUGGGACAACACUGACGCUGAGGCGCGAAAGCGUGGGGAGCAAACAGGAUUAGAUACCCCCGUAGUCCCUGUCUCUUAUAC